RNAcentral lists this ribosomal RNA (328 nucleotides) under uncultured eukaryote. RNAcentral's name for it is "partial 18S ribosomal RNA". It matches the Rfam family "Eukaryotic small subunit ribosomal RNA", at positions 1470 to 1796 of the family's 1831-position model. The record is from RNAcentral.
CCCUUAGAUGCCCUGGGCCGCACGCGCGUUACACUGAUGCAUUCAACGAGCUUAUAACCUUGGCCGAGAGGCCUGGGCAAUCUUGUUAACGUGCAUCGUGAUAGGGAUAGAUUAUUGAAAUUAUUAAUCUUGAACGAGGAAUUCCUAGUAAACGCAGAUCAUCAAUCUGCAUUGAUUACGUCCCUGCCCUUUGUACACACCGCCCGUCGCACCUACCGAUUGGAUGGUCCGGUGAAGCCUCGGGAUUGUGGUUCUUGCCGCUUUAUUGUGGCGUGACCGCGAGAACUUGUCUAAACCUUAUCAUCUAGAGGAAGUAAAAGUCGUAACA